RNAcentral lists this ribosomal RNA (541 nucleotides) under uncultured bacterium. RNAcentral's name for it is "partial 16S ribosomal RNA". It matches the Rfam family "Bacterial small subunit ribosomal RNA", at positions 355 to 888 of the family's 1533-position model. The record is from RNAcentral.
UGGGGAAUUUUGGACAAUGGGCGAAAGCCUGAUCCAGCAAUGCCGCGUGUGUGAAGAAGGCCUUCGGGUUGUAAAGCACUUUUGUCCGGAAAGAAAUCCUUGGCUCUAAUACAGUCGGGGGAUGACGGUACCGGAAGAAUAAGCACCGGCUAACUACGUGCCAGCAGCCGCGGUAAUACGUAGGGUGCAAGCGUUAAUCGGGAAUUACUGGGCGUAAAGCGUGCGCAGGCGGUUUGCUAAGACCGAUGUGAAAUCCCCGGGCUCAACCUGGGAACUGCAUUGGUGACUGGCAGGCUAGAGUAUGGCAGAGGGGGGUAGAAUUCCACGUGUAGCAGUGAAAUGCGUAGAUAUGUGGAGGAACACCAGUGGCGAAGGCGGCUUUCUGGACUGUAACUGACGCUGAGGCGCGAAAGCGUGGGGAGCAAACAGGAUUAGAUACCCUGGUAGUCCACGCCCUAAACGAUGUCAACUAGUUGUUGGGGAUUCAUUUCCUUAGUAACGUAGCUAACGCGUGAAGUUGACCGCCUGGGGAGUACGGUCG